CAAUAGCGUAUAUUAAAGUUGUUGCGGUUAAAAAGCUCGUAGUUGGAUUUCUGUUGGGAACGACCGGUCCGCCCAUUGGGUGUGUAUCUGGCUUGUUCUCGGCAUCUUCUUGGUGAACGUUGCUGCACUUGACUGUGUGGAGCGCUACCCAGGACUUUUACUUUGAGGAAAUUAGAGUGUUUCAAGCAGGCAUAUGCCUUGAAUACAUUAGCAUGGAAUAAUAAGAUAGGACCUCGGUUCUAUUUUGUUGGUUUCUAGAGCUGAGGUAAUGAUUAAUAGGGAUAGUUGGGGGUGCUGCUAUUCAACGGCCAGAGGUGAAAUUCUUGGAUUCGUUGAGGAGCAACUACUGCGAAAGCAUUCACCAAGGAUGUCUCCUUUAA
This 380-nucleotide ribosomal RNA is filed under the name uncultured eukaryote. Its description in RNAcentral is "partial 18S ribosomal RNA". It matches the Rfam family "Eukaryotic small subunit ribosomal RNA", at positions 592 to 976 of the family's 1831-position model. The record is from RNAcentral.